UGACCGCGACUGACGCUGCGAGCGUCGC
Molecule: small RNA, 28 nt
Filed under: Bombyx mori (domestic silkworm)
Lineage: Eukaryota; Metazoa; Arthropoda; Insecta; Lepidoptera; Bombycidae
Description: ovarian small RNA-31608
Source: RNAcentral